Molecule: unclassified non-coding RNA, 285 nt
Filed under: plant metagenome
Description: partial contains small subunit ribosomal RNA, internal transcribed spacer 1, and 5.8S ribosomal RNA
Rfam family: Eukaryotic small subunit ribosomal RNA (bases 1-54)
Source: RNAcentral
GGAAGUAAAAAUCGUAACAAGGUUUCCGUAGGUGAACCUGCGAAAGGAUCAUUAUUGUAUAACCGAGGUGCGAGGGCUGUCGCUGACCCGAAAGGUCGUGCACGCCCGAGUGCCCUCACACACAUCCAUCUCACCCCUAUGUGCACCACCGCGUGGGUCCCCCUUUGGCUUGUUCGGAGGGGGGCUUACGUUUUCACACAAACUUUGUAUGCAGUGUAGAAUGUAUUUUUUGUUUUUGCGAUCACGCAAUCAAUACAACUUUCAACAACGGAUCUCUUGGCUCUC